Molecule: ribosomal RNA, 432 nt
Filed under: uncultured bacterium
Lineage: Bacteria
Description: bacterial SSU rRNA
Rfam family: Bacterial small subunit ribosomal RNA
Source: RNAcentral
AACGAACGCUGGCGGCGUGGAUAAGACAUGCAAGUCGAACGGGAUUUCUUUCGGUUAGCAAUACUGAGAGGGAUUUAGUGGCGAACGGGUGCGUAAACACGUGGGGAAUCUGCCGAGAAGUGGGGGAGUAGCUCGUCGAAAGGCGAAUUAAUACCGCAUAUGAUCAGGGAAGACAUCUUUCCAACAUCAAAGCCGGGGCAACCUGGCGCUUCUUGAUGACCCCGCGGCCUAUCAGCUAGUUGGUGAGGUAACGGCCCACCAAGGCUAUGACGGGUAGCUGGUCUGAGAGGACGACCAGUCACACUGGAACUGAGACACGGUCCAGACACCUACGGGUGGCAGCAGUCGAGAAUUUUUUCUCAAUGGGGGCAAACCCUGAAGGAGCGACGCCGCGUGGAGGAUGAAGGCUUUCGGGCCGUAAAACUCCUGUCA